Molecule: long non-coding RNA, 414 nt
Organism: Leguminivora glycinivorella
Lineage: Eukaryota; Metazoa; Arthropoda; Insecta; Lepidoptera; Tortricidae
Exons: 2
Source: RefSeq, a predicted model, not a curated record
GUGUAACGUGAGGAAAUUAUAAAUUAUUUUUUAUUGGUAAAACGUAACCAAAAUGCUUUCGUGUGCUUUUAUGCGUUGCACAAACCAUUCUAAAAGGAAAAAAAAAUCGCAGGGAAUCACAUUUCACUCUUUUCCUGGAGAUGAACUUGUCAGACACAAAAGGCGUAUUGUAGUGCGUAAACAACGACAAGAGCCAGACUGGACGCCUCGACUUUUCUCGCUAUAGUGAGGGGAAAAGUUUUGUAAAUAACUAUUAUUCUAAGUAUAGGAAAGUACCCUAUCGUAAGCAAUUUUAAUAAAGUUUGUCUUAAAGAAAAAAUAUGAGGUCACUAUUUUAGUUCCAUCAAUUUCUGCCAUCUAUUCUAUUUUCAAAAAGUAAUAGUGUGUUGUGAGUGAGAUUAGGGUUGCAAAUAG